RNAcentral lists this ribosomal RNA (259 nucleotides) under uncultured bacterium. RNAcentral's name for it is "partial 16S ribosomal RNA". The record is from RNAcentral.
CUGCUGCCUCCCGUAGGAGUUUGGGCCGUGUCUCAGUCCCAAUGUGGCCGUCCACCCUCUCAGGCCGGCUACUGAUCGCUGCCUUGGUGGGCCGUUACCCCGCCAACUAGCUAAUCAGACGCGGAUCCAUCGUAUACCACCGGAGUUUUUCACACUGCCCCAUGCGGAGCCGUGCGCUUAUGCGGUAUUAGCACCUAUUUCUAAGUGUUAUCCCCCGGUAUACGGCAGGUUAUCCACGCGUUACUCACCCGUCCGCCAA